Molecule: ribosomal RNA, 501 nt
Filed under: uncultured bacterium
Lineage: Bacteria
Description: partial 16S ribosomal RNA
Rfam family: Bacterial small subunit ribosomal RNA
Source: RNAcentral
AUUGAACGCUGGCGGCAGGCUUAACACAUGCAAGUCGAGCGGAGCGAGGGUGCUUGCACCUUAGCUUAGCGGCGGACGGGUGAGUAACGCUUAGGAAUCUGCCUAUUAGUGGGGGACAACAUUCCGAAAGGAAUGCUAAUACCGCAUACGCCCUACGGGGGAAAGCAGGGGAUCUUCGGACCUUGCGCUAAUAGAUGAGCCUAAGUCGGAUUAGCUAGUUGGUGGGGUAAAGGCCUACCAAGGCGACGAUCUGUAGCGGGUCUGAGAGGAUGAUCCGCCAAACUGGGACUGGGACACGGCCCAGACUCCUACGGGAGGCAGCAGUGGGGAAUAUUGGACAAUGGGCGGAAGCCUGAUCCAGCCAUGCCGCGUGUGUGAAGAAGGCCUUUUGGUUGUAAAGCACUUUAAGCGAGGAGGAGGCUACUUAGAUUAAUACUCUGGGAUAGUGGACGUUACUCGCAGAAUAAGCACCGGCUAACUCUGUGCCAGCAGCCGCAGUAA